GAUGAAGAACGCAGCGAAAUGCGAUACGUAAUGUGAAUUGCAGAAUUCAGUGAAUCAUCGAGUCUUUGAACGCACAUUGCGCCCCCUGGUAUUCCGGGGGGCAUGCCUGUUCGAGCGUCAUUUCAACCCUCAAGCACAGCUUGGUGUUGGGACUCGCGUUAAUUCGCGUUCCUCAAAUUGAUUGGCGGUCACGUCGAGCUUCCAUAGCGUAGUAGUAAAACCCUCGUUACUGGUAAUCGUCGCGGCCACGCCGUUAAACCCCAACUUCUGAAUGUUGACCUCGGAUCAGGUAGGAAUACCCGCUGAACUUAAGCAUAUCAAUAAGCGGAGGA
This 332-nucleotide unclassified non-coding RNA is filed under the name soil metagenome. RNAcentral describes it as "partial contains 5.8S ribosomal RNA, internal transcribed spacer 2, and large subunit ribosomal RNA". The stretch from base 1 to 120 matches the Rfam family "5.8S ribosomal RNA", at positions 35 to 154 of the family's 154-position model. The record is from RNAcentral.